This 73-nucleotide transfer RNA is filed under the name Thermoprotei archaeon. Its description in RNAcentral is "tRNA-Tyr". It matches the Rfam family "tRNA". From Rfam's summary of the family: Transfer RNA (tRNA) molecules are approximately 80 nucleotides in length. Their secondary structure includes four short double-helical elements and three loops (D, anti-codon, and T loops). Lineage: Archaea; Thermoproteati; Thermoproteota; Thermoprotei. The record is from RNAcentral. RNAcentral also lists the same sequence under 1 other name.
CCCGCCGUAGCUCAGCUGGCAGAGCGUCCGGCUGUAGACCGGAUGGUCCCCGGUUCAAAUCCGGGCGGCGGGA